This 834-nucleotide ribosomal RNA is filed under the name Triticum aestivum (bread wheat). RNAcentral describes it as "partial small subunit ribosomal RNA". The record is from RNAcentral. Lineage: Eukaryota; Viridiplantae; Streptophyta; Magnoliopsida; Poales; Poaceae.
AUGAAUCACGUGCUCAAGAGAGGGUUUGUCAAGGGGAACCAGAACCUACACAAGAUUGCUAGGCGGGUAAAUGCUUGCAUGCAAACUCGGAUGGAGAAGGAGAACGAGCAAACAAUGACCAACAUGAGCAAUCCUGUGACAAAAACAACUUACGGCUAUGAGGAAGACAUGUCUAUCAAGUACACAAGAGCCGUGUACAGCGAGAUGAGGACUAUGAUGAGAAAAGCCACACUAUUUCGCGCAAAGCCUACAGCAGAGCCCACUAAGUACCUUGUGUACUACCACAACAAGGUUGGCCAUGAUGAUGAAGAAAGAGUUUCCUGGUCAAAGCAUGAAUUCCAGGUUGUAGCUGACCCAGAGAAUGAAAUAUAUGAGUGCGAAUGCAAGCUUUGGACACACACAGGUCUAUUCUGCCUUGACAUCAUGAACAUACUAGGCUAUCUGAAGCCUGACAAAUUUCCAGGCAAGUAUAUCCUCAAACGAUACACAAAGACUGCAAAAUUACAACCAACAUUUGAUACAAGGGACUACAACACAACUGCAUUGGAUGGCUGCUCAAGACUAUCCAAGCAAGACAUCUUGGUGAAGCUAAAUUUUAUGGUUAACAAGAAAUCAAUGAGAUGUGACCAGCAAUAUGACAGAGCCUUCUAUGUUCUCAAGAGGCUUGUGGAAGAACUUGAUGCAAUACAUUCAGCAAAUCAAGAGGAUGCUGACGAAAGGAUGGCUGAAGAGGAUGCUGAAAUCGAAGAUGACCUUCAUUAUUAUGAAGCUGAAAUGCACCAGACCGCUGCUCAAACCAACCAAUGCAAGCAGGAUGUUGACCAAUUAAUGUAG